RNAcentral lists this long non-coding RNA (202 nucleotides) under Gossypium raimondii (Peruvian cotton). RNAcentral's name for it is "long non-coding RNA (GRAI_LNC005489)". The record is from RNAcentral. Lineage: Eukaryota; Viridiplantae; Streptophyta; Magnoliopsida; Malvales; Malvaceae.
AAAUCGUUCGUAUAGGAACCACGUAGUUAUAGUAAAACCAUGCAAAUUGGAGGAAGUAACCAACUAAUAGUAACGAAGAUGAAUACAUGGAAACGCUAUUGGUGGGCCGGAUCACAAUUCUGGCCCAAAUAUUGGUUAUAAGUUUGAGCCUGGUCUAUCUUAAUAUGGACUCGUUAAAAAUACUAUACAAGUACAAUUAUUA